RNAcentral lists this ribosomal RNA (497 nucleotides) under uncultured bacterium. RNAcentral describes it as "partial 16S ribosomal RNA". It matches the Rfam family "Bacterial small subunit ribosomal RNA", at positions 28 to 507 of the family's 1533-position model. The record is from RNAcentral.
GAUGAACGCUGGCGUCGUGCCUAAUACAUGCAAGUCGAGCGAACGGACGAGAAGCUUGCUUUUCUGAUGUUAGCGGCGGACGGGUGAGUAACACGUGGAUAACCUACCUAUAAGACUGGGAUAACUUCGGGAAACCGGAGCUAAUACCGGAUAAUAUUUUGAACCGCAUGGUUCAAAAGUGAGAGACGGUCUUGCUGUCACUUAUAGAUGGAUCCGCGCUGCAUUAGCUAGUUGGUAAGGUAACGGCUUACCAAGGCAACGAUGCAUAGCCGACCUGAGAGGGUGAUCGGCCACACUGGAACUGAGACACGGUCCAGACUCCUACGGGAGGCAGCAGUAGGGAAUCUUCCGCAAUGGGCGAAAGCCUGACGGAGCAACGCCGCGUGAGUGAUGAAGGUCUUCGGAUCGUAAAACUCUGUUAUUAGGGAAGAACAUAUGUGUAAGUAACUGUGCACAUCUUGACGGUACCUAAUCAGAAAGCCACGGCUAACUACGUG